CCUACGGGAGGCUGCAGUGAGGAAUAUUGGUCAAUGGCCGAGAGGCUGAACCAGCCAAGUCGCGUGAGGGAAGACGGCCCUACGGGUUGUAAACCUCUUUUGUCGGGGAGCAAAGAGAGUCACGUGUGACUCAUUGAGAGUACCCGAAGAAUAAGCAUCGGCUAACUCCGUGCCAGCAGCCGCGGUAAGACGGAUGAUGCGAGCGUUAUCCGGAUUUAUUGGGUUUAAAGGGUGCGCAGGCGGAGGUGCAAGUCAGCGGUCAAAUUGCGGGGCUCAACCCCGUACUGCCGUGGAAACUGCAUGCCUUGAGUGCGCGAGAAGUAUGCGGAAUGCGUGGUGUAGCGGUGAAAUGCAUAGAUAUCACGCAGAACUCCGAUUGCGAAGGCAGCAUACCGGCGCGCAACUGACGCUCAUGCACGAAAGCGUGGGUAUCGAACAGGAUUAGAUACCCGUGUAGUC
Molecule: ribosomal RNA, 459 nt
Filed under: uncultured bacterium
Lineage: Bacteria
Description: partial 16S ribosomal RNA
Rfam family: Bacterial small subunit ribosomal RNA
Source: RNAcentral